Molecule: ribosomal RNA, 292 nt
Filed under: uncultured Planctomycetota bacterium
Lineage: Bacteria; Pseudomonadati; Planctomycetota
Description: uncultured planctomycete partial 16S ribosomal RNA
Source: RNAcentral
GGACUACUGGGGUAUCUAAUCCCGUUCGCUCCCCUAGCUUUCGCGCCUCAGCGUCAGAAGAGGUCCAGCACGCCGCUUUCGCCACCGGCGUUCCUUCCGAUAUCAACGCAUUUCACCGCUCCACCGGAAGUUCCGCAUGCCCCUACCUCACUCAAGCCCACCAGUAUCGAAAGCACUUUUCCGGUUAAGCCGAAAGAUUUCACCCCCGACUUGGUGAGCCGCCUACGCGCCCUUUAAGCCCAGUGAUUCCGAACAACGUUUGCACGGUUUGUCUUACCGCGGCUGCUGGCAC